This 475-nucleotide ribosomal RNA is filed under the name Macrobrachium scabriculum. RNAcentral describes it as "partial 16S ribosomal RNA". It matches the Rfam family "Bacterial large subunit ribosomal RNA", at positions 1916 to 2597 of the family's 2925-position model. The record is from RNAcentral. Lineage: Eukaryota; Metazoa; Arthropoda; Malacostraca; Decapoda; Palaemonidae.
GAUUUAUUUAAAGGGCCGCGGUAAUUUGACCGUGCGAAGGUAGCAUAGUCAGUAGUCUUUUAAUUGAAGGCUUGAAUGAAAGGUUGGACGAGGGAUAAGCUGUCUCCUUAGUGGCGUAACGUGAAUUUAACUUUUAAGUGAAAAGGCUUGAAUUAUUUAGUGGGACGAUAAGACCCUAUAAAACUUGAUAUAAGUUUAGGCUUGAUUUGUGAUUUAGGUGAAAGACGAUUUUGUUUGGUUUAUAUUUCGUUGGGGAGAUGUAGAUAUAAUGUGUAACUGUCUAUUUAAUUUAAUAAAUAUAAUUAGUAUGUGAUCCUUCAUUUGUGGAUUAGAAGAAUAAGUUACUUUAGGGAUAACAGCGUGAUUUUCUUUGAGAGUUCUUAUCGACAAGAGUAGUUGCGACCUCGAUGUUGAAUUAAAAUUUCAGCUAGGUGUAGCCGUUUAGCUGGUGGGUCUGUUCGACCUUUAAAAUUUU